This 501-nucleotide ribosomal RNA is filed under the name uncultured bacterium. Its description in RNAcentral is "partial 16S ribosomal RNA". It matches the Rfam family "Bacterial small subunit ribosomal RNA", at positions 28 to 523 of the family's 1533-position model. The record is from RNAcentral.
GAUGAACGCUAGCGGCAGGCUUAACACAUGCAAGUCGAGGGGCAGCACGAUGUAGCAAUACAUUGGUGGCGACCGGCGCACGGGUGCGUAACACGUAUGGAACCUGCCCUGUACUGGGAGAUAGCCCUCCGAAAGGAGGAUUAAUAUCCCAUAAUAGCUUGGGUGGCAUCACCUGGGUUUGAAAGCUCCGGCGGUACAGGAUGGCCAUGCGCACGAUUAGCUAGUUGGUGAGGUAACAGCUCACCAAGGCUACGAUCGUUAGGGGGCCUGAGAGGGUUAUCCCCCACACUGGUACUGAGACACGGACCAGACUCCUACGGGAGGCAGCAGUGAGGAAUAUUGCGCAAUGGAGGAAACUCUGACGCAGCCAUGCCGCGUGCAGGAAGAAGGCGCUACGCGUUGUAAACUGCUUUUAACCGGGAAGAAACCCUCCGACGUGUCGGAGGUUGACGGUACCGGAGGAAUAAGCACCGGCUAACUUCGUGCCAGCCGCCGCGGUAA